This 446-nucleotide ribosomal RNA is filed under the name uncultured bacterium. RNAcentral's name for it is "partial 16S ribosomal RNA". It matches the Rfam family "Bacterial small subunit ribosomal RNA", at positions 338 to 795 of the family's 1533-position model. The record is from RNAcentral.
CCUACGGGAGGCAGCAGUCGAGAAUCAUUCACAAUGGGGGAAACCCUGAUGGUGCGACGCCGCGUGGGGGAAUGAAGUUCUUCGGAUUGUAAACCCCUGUCAUGUGGGAGCAAAUUAAAAAGAUCGUACCACAAGAGGAAGAGACGGCUAACUCUGUGCCAGCAGCCGCGGUAAUACAGAGGUCUCAAGCGUUGUUCGGAAUCACUGGGCGUAAAGCGUGCGUAGGCUGUUUCGUAAGUCGUGUGUGAAAGGCGCGGGCUCAACCCGCGGACGGCACAUGAUACUGCGAGACUAGAGUAAGGGAGGGGGAACCGGAAUUCUCGGUGUAGCAGUGAAAUGCGUAGAUAUCGAGAGGAACACUCGUGGCGAAGGCGGGUUCCUGGACAUUAACUGACGCUGAGGCACGAAGGCCAGGGGAGCGAAAGGGAUUAGAUACCCUUGUAGUC